UAUCGAAACAGAAAGUCCAGGAGGGAAGGGGGGCUCUCUUCGACCCUCCGAGGCUUUGACCUUCUCAACACCUGUGUGCACCCACUGUAGGUCCUUCGGGACCUACGUCUCCUUCCAACUCGCAUGUCUACAGAACGUAUUCGUCGUGUCCCGGCCUCGACCCCCCCAGGGGGUCCCGCGUCGGCGACCGCAAAAAAAAACCUAUUACAACUUUCAGCAACGGAUCUCUUGGCUCUCGCAUCGAUGAAGAACGCAGCGAAUCGCGAUAAGUAAUGUGAAUUGCAGAUUUUCCGUGAAUCAUCGAAUCUUUGAACGCACCUUGCGCUCCUUGGUAUUCCGAGGAGCAUGCCUGUUUGAGUGUCAUCGAAACCUCGGAUCGACGCUUCGACCCCGUCGGAGCUCGGUUUGGACUAUGGGAGUCUGCGGGCGAAGCGUGACUUCGUCGGCUCUCCUCAAAAGCAUUAGCCGUGGGUGGCGAGCCUGGCAUGGCACGGCCUCUUCGACGUCGUAAUGAUCGUCGUGGGCUGGAAGUGUAUGGCUCGAUGGACCCCCCAUGCUUCCCGAGUCUUGCGAGCCCGUCUCUCGUGGACGGCCGCGCCCCCAUCGAAGCUGACCUCAACUCA
RNAcentral lists this ribosomal RNA (623 nucleotides) under uncultured fungus. RNAcentral describes it as "eukaryotic LSU rRNA". The stretch from base 209 to 363 matches the Rfam family "5.8S ribosomal RNA". Lineage: Eukaryota; Fungi. The record is from RNAcentral.